GCUGGAGGCCGGGCUGUGUGAGGGAGGGCAACCCCAUGCAAAGCCCUCCGAGGUUGGACAGAGACAGAGAAUCCGGGCCUGUUUCAGGGCAACGGGCAAAAGGGUCCACGCUAGGGCAAAGUCAUCUCCACAGGAGGAAGCCGGCAGCUCUGAGAGGUGGGGACCCGGUGCUGCGACCCUCUCUCUCCUUGCUCGUCACUCUAUCUCGAGACAGGAGUCUAACAGGCAGGGGUCUGCAAUAAUGACCACAGGUGUUUACAGAAUGGUGCUGGUGGCGCUGGAGGGAGAAAACACAGGCUGGGAUCACAGGUGCAGAGGUGCAGGGUCAAAGGGCGACUGAACCAAAUGAACGAAUGAGAUUCACAGGAAAGCAAGGAAACACAUGCUCUGAUACUUCCAAAAUAAGUCCUACAAAGGAGCCCGAUGGCAAAAGCUGCGCUGGGCAGCAGUUCAGAGGGACAACUCUGGGGAGCAGGUCGUAAGGAAAGACAGACCUAACAUACAGGUCGAUAAGAACCAAUCCCGAGACACUUGCUAGAAAAUCAGUUGCAAAGAUCUGAUUAUCGGUGCACUUGGAAAGCAAAUGAUGCCUACACCCAACGUUUGGGAAGAAUCGAAGUUUCGCUAUGGAGAGAUCGCACCGAGGUGGAAUUCUCUUCAAGUAGUUUGAGAAGUUAGACAAGGGUUGCCAUGCACAGAACCUAGCAACCUCACUGCCCAAGGAACAGCGGAAGUCUUUUAGCUGUGGGGAUUGGAAAUAACAUCUCACAGAGCUGAUGCUGGUCUUUUCUCAGAAGCUCUUCUGUCCUCAGUAUCCGCGGUCCAGUUCUUGGGUCUCAGGCUGCUCAGAGACUGGCUGACACAGCACGGGGCAGUGUGUGCGCUCAUGGGGCACAGUGGGUUCCCAGCUACUAGAGGAGCAUGAAAGGACGGAUGGCCACGCACUGGCCUAUGGCAGGGGGGAUUCCUGCCCUGGAAAUGACCCUUCUCAUCAGAGGCUUUCUCC
This 1006-nucleotide long non-coding RNA is filed under the name Heterocephalus glaber (naked mole-rat). Its description in RNAcentral is "lncRNA (ENSHGLG00100025941.2)". Lineage: Eukaryota; Metazoa; Chordata; Mammalia; Rodentia; Bathyergidae. The record is from RNAcentral.